Molecule: ribosomal RNA, 171 nt
Filed under: Komagataea pratensis
Lineage: Eukaryota; Fungi; Ascomycota; Saccharomycetes; Phaffomycetales; Wickerhamomycetaceae
Description: Barnettozyma pratensis partial 18S rRNA
Rfam family: Eukaryotic small subunit ribosomal RNA
Source: RNAcentral
GGGCCGCACGCGCGCUACACUGACGGAGCCAGCGAGUAAUACAUCCUUGGCCGAGAGGUCUGGGUAAUCUUGUGAAACUCCGUCGUGCUGGGGAUCGGCCAUUGCAAUUCUUGGCCGUCAACGAGGAAUUCCUAGUAAGCGCAAGUCAUCAGCUUGCGUUGAUUACGUCCC